This 319-nucleotide ribosomal RNA is filed under the name uncultured bacterium. Its description in RNAcentral is "bacterial SSU rRNA". It matches the Rfam family "Bacterial small subunit ribosomal RNA", at positions 234 to 545 of the family's 1533-position model. The record is from RNAcentral.
CGGCGCAUUAGCUAGUUGGUGAGGUAACGGCUCACCAAGGCGACGAUGCGUAGCCGACCUGAGAGGGUGAUCGGCCACACUGGGACUGAGACACGGCCCAGACUCCUACGGGAGGCAGCAGUAGGGAAUCUUCCGCAAUGGACGCAAGUCUGACGGAGCAACGCCGCGUGAGCGAAGAAGGUCUUCGGAUCGUAAAGCUCUGUUGUAAGGGAAGAACAAGUACCAGAGUAAAUGCUGGUACCUUGACGGUACCUUACCAGAAAGCCACGGCUAACUACGUGCCAGCAGCCGCGGUAAUACGUAGGUGGCAAGCGUUGUC